AUUGAACGCUGGCGGCAGGCCUAACACAUGCAAGUCGAACGGUAACAGGAAGAAGCUUGCUUCUUUGCUGACGAGUGGCGGACGGGUGAGUAAUGUCUGGGCAACUUCGUGAUGGAGGGGGAUAACUACUGGAAACGGUAGCUAAUACCGCAUAACGGCGCAAGACCAAAGAGGGUGACCUUCGGGCCUCUUGCCAUCGGCUGUGCCCAGAUGGGAUUAGCUAGUAGGUGGGGUAACGGCUCACCUAGGCGACGAUCCCUAACUGGUCUGAGAGGAUGACCAGCCACACUGGAACUGAGACACGGUCCAGACUCCUACGGGAGGCAGCAGUGGGGAAUAUUGCACAAUGGGCGAAAGCCUGAUCCAGCCAUGCCGCGUGUAUGAAGAAGGCCUUCGGGUUGUAAAGUACUUUCAGCGGGGAGGAAGGGAGUAAAGUUAAUACCUUUACUCAUUGACGUUACCCGCAGAAGAAGCACCGGCUAACUCCGUG
RNAcentral lists this ribosomal RNA (490 nucleotides) under uncultured bacterium. RNAcentral describes it as "partial 16S ribosomal RNA". It matches the Rfam family "Bacterial small subunit ribosomal RNA", at positions 30 to 507 of the family's 1533-position model. The record is from RNAcentral.